UGGGGAAUAUUGGACAAUGGGCGAAAGCCUGAUCCAGCCAUGCCGCGUGUGUGAAGAAGGUCUUCGGAUUGUAAAGCACUUUAAGUUGGGAGGAAGGGCAGUAAGCGAAUACCUUGCUGUUUUGACGUUACCGACAGAAUAAGCACCGGCUAACUCUGUGCCAGCAGCCGCGGUAAUACAGAGGGUGCAAGCGUUAAUCGGAAUUACUGGGCGUAAAGCGCGCGUAGGUGGUUCGUUAAGUUGGAUGUGAAAUCCCCGGGCUCAACCUGGGAACUGCAUCCAAAACUGGCGAGCUAGGGUAGGGCAGAGGGUGGUGGAAUUUCCUGUGUAGCGGUGAAAUGCGUAGAUAUAGGAAGGAACACCAGUGGCGAAGGCGACCACCUGGGCUCAUACUGACACUGAGGUGCGAAAGCGUGGGGAGCAAACAGG
RNAcentral lists this ribosomal RNA (429 nucleotides) under Bacillota bacterium. RNAcentral's name for it is "Firmicutes bacterium partial 16S ribosomal RNA". It matches the Rfam family "Bacterial small subunit ribosomal RNA", at positions 355 to 776 of the family's 1533-position model. The record is from RNAcentral. Lineage: Bacteria; Bacillati; Bacillota.